UGGGGAAUUUUGCGCAAUGGGGGAAACCCUGACGCAGCAACGCCGCGUGCGGGAUGAAGGCCUUCGGGUUGUAAACCGCUUUCAGCAGGGAAGAACCUAGACGGUACCUGCAGAAGAAGCUCCGGCUAACUACGUGCCAGCAGCCGCGGUAAUACGUAGGGAGCAAGCGUUAUCCGGAUUCAUUGGGCGUAAAGCGCGCGUAGGCGGCUUGUUAAGUCAGGUGUCAAAUCCAGGGGCUCAACCCUUGUCCGCACCUGAAACUGGCAGGCUUGAGUUUGGUAGAGGAAGAUGGAAUUCCCAGUGUAGCGGUGAAAUGCGCAGAUAUUGGGAGGAACACCGAUGGCGAAGGCAGUCUUCUGGGCCAUAACUGACGCUGAGGUGCGAAAGCUAGGGGAGCAAACAGG
RNAcentral lists this ribosomal RNA (404 nucleotides) under uncultured bacterium. Its description in RNAcentral is "bacterial SSU rRNA". It matches the Rfam family "Bacterial small subunit ribosomal RNA", at positions 355 to 776 of the family's 1533-position model. The record is from RNAcentral.